RNA transcript from Armigeres subalbatus, 7499 nucleotides. It is a transcript of the gene named phospholipid-transporting ATPase VD, with no coding region annotated. The transcript has 12 exons. NCBI's taxonomy places the organism in Eukaryota, Metazoa, Arthropoda, Insecta, Diptera, Culicidae. The record is from RefSeq and is a predicted model, not a curated record.
UGUGUUUGUGCCUCGGUUUCGUGCGGUUGUUUUCUCGUCGUCGUCGUGUUUGGUACAUCGCCGUGCGGACGGAUGGUUCUUGUUGGGUUCCUUCACACCGGAUUUUUGAUUCUUGUGCUGUGUACUGCUGCAACUAACUUUACCACGCGUGAAUAUUUAUAAUACCGUGUUUCAGUAGUGCAUUCGAUUUUCUUCAUUUACAACGGGAAACUAUUUUCGUUUUUCUUUUAAGUGAAAAUCGAAAUUUUUGUGACAUUUUUCGUUGGUGGUAAACAACCACGAGUGACAGCCGAAGAUGUUUCAAAAACAGUUCUAGGGUAAUCAGCGAUCGGUUCAAGAUGUUCACCAACGGCAGGUGAAAAUCGCAAUUAGUUGGGAACAUUAACUGUGACGUAAUGUGAAUAAAGUAGUGAAGUAUUUUUCCAGUAGCUAAAUUUGUAAAUCCCGGAAGUGCAAUUAGAACCAGGUGAAACUGUGCACCGAGAGUCCUGAUGGUGUUUAUCGACGAUGACACAAUCGGAGGAUUCGAGAAAGGAUGGUCCUUCGGCAGCUGGGUUUCAGCCUGCGACGCCUUUGAAUCAGCAGCAACCGCAGCAACACCUGCAGCUUCCUGGGCAUCAGCCUGGCUCGGCGCUCACCUCGGAUACCAGUCGUACUUACGUGUUUCCCGGUCCGAAUGUGUCGGCUGCCGGUAGUGCCUUACCAGUAGGUAGCGGAGCAAACGCGGGUCGAUCGCUGUUCGAGCAUCCCCGCAGUGGAGGACACUCCCGGUCGAUAAGUCAUGGGGAAGGUUCGUUUCGCAUGGUCGGCGGUGCCGCGGGGAGACCUUCGGCUCUCAAAUCCGCUGUCAAAGGAGGUCAUCAACGGGCGCUUUCCCAUGGGCAAAUCACCGAUGCGCCGGUACCUCGCUCCGGCCAUAGUCGAGUUGGAUCCAAGACAGAUUUCAUACUACCACCGGGCCACAAGGAACAGCCGGAAGCUCGGGAAACGGGAACGGCUUCCACAACGGCCAAAGGACAUUCCAGGCAAGCCUCCCGAUCAGAGUCCAUCUACACACUUCGAAGGGCCGAUCGACCACCCUGGUGGAAGCGAAUGAUGUUCUGUCGGAGCAGUAAAUUUGAAGAUCGAGGCUACCGGAUAGUGGUUCCCAAUCAUACAGUGCCUCCUAAAACACCAAAAACUGACCACCCCAACGGUCGCCUCGUGGGGAAUAAAAUUCGGACUACCAAGUACACGCUGCUCUCGUUUGUGCCGAAGAAUUUGCUGGAGCAGUUCCACCGGGUUGCGAACUUGUACUUCAUAUUCAUAGUGCUGCUGAACUGGUUUCCCCAGAUAAAUGCUUUCGGGAAGGAGAUUGCCAUGAUCCCGGUACUGUUCGUGCUGGGCGUGACGGCAAUUAAGGACCUGUUCGAAGACCGACAGCGGCGGUCGUCAGACAAGCGGAUUAACAACUCGACGUGCCGCGUUUACAAUGGGGAAUCGGAACGCUACAAGAAAGUGCUAUGGCAAGAUGUACGCGUGGGCGACCUGGUGCAUCUGUCCAACAACGAGACCGUCCCGGCGGACAUUCUGCUGCUCAAAUCGAGCGAUCCGCACGGUGUCUGCUACAUCGACACUUGCGAUCUGGACGGCGAAACGAACCUCAAGAGGCGACAGGUGAUACGAGGUUUCGCCGAAAAACAACACAUUUUCACGGCCAGCAAAUUCACCAGCCGUGUCGAAGUGGAUGCCCCGUCGACGAAAAUUUACCGGUUUCAUGGAGCUGUGAUACACCCAUCGGGUGAACGGGUGCCGGUGUCCACCGAAAGUCUGCUGCUAAGAGAGAGCCGACUGAAGAACACUGACUAUGCCGAAGGAAUUGUGGUGUAUGCCGGGCACGAAACGAAGGCCAUGCUUAACAAUAGUGGCCCACGAUACAAGAGGUCACAAAUCGAGCAACAGAUGAAUAUCGAUGUCAUCUGGUGCGUGAUCAUUCUUAUCAUUCUGUGCGUCAUUGGUGCCAUCGGCUGCAAGAUGUGGCUCUCUUCAUUUGUGGCAUCCAGUGGGAACAAUAACGAAACAUAUCGCAUCCCAUAUCUUCCCUUCGAGAUCAAUCCGGAUUACGAGGGCUUGUUGGCGUUUUGGACUUUUGUUAUAAUUCUUCAGAUCAUGAUACCACUGUCACUGUACGUGACGAUAGAGCUGUGCAAAAUUAUGCAGGUUUAUCACAUCCACAACUGCAUAGAUCUGUACGAUCCGCAGACGAACAAGCGGACCGAGUGCCGAGCGAUGAACAUCACCGAAGAGCUGGGACAGAUCCAGUAUAUAUUUUCGGAUAAGACAGGCACACUCACGGAAAAUCGUAUGAUUUUUCGUCGAUGCACCAUCGUAGGGGUAGACUACAAUCAUCCCGAAACGGAGGAAGAAAAAGAACUGACCAAAAUCGGAGGUCCCGUACCGAACCUUCAGCCAAAUAUUAGCUUAGUAGAGAAUUUAAACCAGACUACUGAGUCCCACCGGCUCAGCGGUAGUGCGCAGCAGAUUCAGGAGUUCUUCAUCGUGCUGGCCAUCUGCAAUACGGUAGUAGUGAGCGCCACUCCGCACAAGGAUCACAUGAACGCCAGUGGUGUGAUCGAACUCAACGAUAGUGAUACGAGUGUAACGCUGGUCCGAUCAGUGAUAACAGAUGCAAUAGCAAACGGUACUGAUCCCCCUAGUGAUAGGUACGCGCGGUUGACUGAAUCGCGAUCUAUCACCCCGUCGCCACCGCCAAACGUCCCCACGUCACUGCCGUUGAAGCAAACCCAUGUGCCAUCGCUGUCGCCCAUCAGCAGCUCAGCAGAAACUUCCCCCAUGUCGGAAAGCCCUCCGAUGAAGCUAAAAGCAAUCACGCCAACGGCGCGAGUAAAAUCCCUAGUAGCCAAGCUACCGAAAGGUCCUUUCAAAUCUAACAAUAAGAAUAAAUUUAAUAUGAAUAGCAUUAAGUUCCCCAAGUCCCUCUCCCAGGGCUCAACACCAAGCGAUCGAAGGCCAAUCUUCGAGGCUGAAAGCCCCGACGAAUUGGCACUAGUUAAUGCGGCCUACAGUUACGAUUGCUGUCUUAUCAAUCGAAGUCCUAAUCACGUUUUAGUGAAUGUUCCCGGCGAAGGUGUCGUGGAAUACGAAGUUCUUAAAAUUUUACCCUUCGACUCUAAUCGUAAAUGUAUGUCGGUGGUUGUCCGAAAAACCGGAACUCAAGAGGUAGUUCUCUAUACAAAAGGUGCCGAUAGCUCUAUCAUUUCUAGUCUUGCUCCGUGUGCUCCCGGAUCGGAGGAGUAUCGACUGCGAGAACAGACUCAACAUCAGCUGAAUCUGUACGCUCGGCAGGGUCUACGUGUUUUAGUAAUGGCAAAACGGAAACUAGAUGCGACAGACUUUUCUGAGUGGUACACUCAACACCAGGAGUGUGAACUGAGUAUGGAUAACCGUGAGAAAAAGAUAAGGGAGUCUUUCGGAUUGCUGGAGAGAAACUUUACGCUGCUGGGAACUACGGGCAUCGAAGAUCGGCUACAGGAAGGUGUCCCGGAGGCCAUUUCGUCCCUCCUACAAUCUGGCAUUAUGAUAUGGGUACUUACGGGGGAUAAAACGGAGACGGCGAUCAACGUGGCUUACUCUGCGCGAUUAUUUAAUCCUCAAAUGGACAUUCUUCGGCUAACGGCGCGAUCGCGUGACUCGGCCGAGGCUUGCAUCAAUUUUUACUUGAAUGAGGUUGAAAAACAGCUCAACGAUAUGGACUUCUCGAUCCGGAGCGAUCGUGAUAAGGGACGGGCGUUGGUCGUGGAUGGCAAAACGUUGACCUUCAUUCUAGAUCUGCGGUCGAAUCUGACGAAACCAUUCCUACAGUUGACAAAGUACUGCUCAUCGGUGCUGUGCUGUCGGGCAACACCACUUCAGAAAGCGUUCCUUGUAAAGGUGGUGAAGGAGGAACUCCGAAUGAGCACGCUGGCGAUCGGUGACGGAGCGAAUGAUGUGUCCAUGAUUCAGAUGGCGGAUGUUGGAGUUGGAAUCUGCGGACAGGAAGGUAUGCAAGCUGUGAUGGCGUCGGAUUUCACGAUCGCAAAGUUCAGAAUUUUGGAGAAGCUGUUGCUGGUUCACGGCCAUUGGAACUACGAUCGUUUGGCGCGGAUGAUAACUUAUUUCUUCUACAAAAAUGCGGCAUUUGUGUUCCUACUCUUCUGGUACCAACUGUAUUGUGGUUUUUCCGGUGCCGUCAUGAUUGACGAAAUGUACCUGAUGAUCUACAACCUAAUCUUCACUGCCCUGCCGCCUCUUGCCAUUGGUGUCUACGACAAAAAGAUAAUCGACGACUUACUGCUCAACUAUCCGCGUCUGUAUCGACACGGCCGACUCGGGAAAGGUUACAAACCGUUCACUUUUUGGAUCGUCAUGCUCGAUGCGCUCUAUCAAAGCUUGGUUAUAUUCUUUGUCGCCAAGGCCGCUUUCUGGGAAUCGGACGUGGACGUGUGGGUUUUUGGAACUACUAUCACCUCGGCGUGCCUGUUCACGAUGCUGCUCCAUUGUGCCAUAGAAAUCAAAUCAUGGACAAUCCUUCACGUAUUAUCAAUCGUAAUUAGUAUAGGUUCGUUCUACCUGUUUGCCUUCGCGUACAAUACAGUAUGUGUGAAUUGCUUCGGACUGCCUUCCAACUACUGGGUGAUCCACAUGAGCAUGAGUUCAGUACAGUAUUAUCUGAUCACUGUCUUGACGGCAGUGCUCGCCUUGUUGCCUCGUUUAAUCUACCGCGUGGUGGAAAACACCGUUUGGCCGAGUGAGGGCGUUCGCGUCACUCUGCAGUACAAAGAGGAGAAACGGAGAGGUGAGAAUCUACUGGUAACCUGGUCCCGGUCCACAUCGGCCUCGUCUAUAUUCAGGUAUUUAACGACAACAACUACCACGACCACCAUGACCACUACCAAGACGACGUCUUCGUCGUCUGGCAAGAACAAUCCGGGCUCCAAGGGAAGCACACUGAAGGCACGCAAGAAACUAAACGCCGCAGUUGGCAUCCUGGAGCGAAACAAUCCUCAGGAGCGAUUCGGUUACUAGCCAGGCCUAGCGAUAGAGUUUAUGCGCCCCUCGAAAAAAAAGCUAGACGAACCACUAUGAACCGCCGAUUACUGGGCUGCGCAUAAGACUGUGACGAAAGCGUCAUCGACGACAGAAUGUGUAUAUAAUACGUAGCCACUCGUUUUUACAUUACUCUUCACAAUCACGCAUAGUUCAAGGCUCCAUAUUUUAAAACUGUUUCAUCUUACGCAGAACGUAUAAUAUAUUAUUUAUUUCGAUAGAAUUCCUGCCACUUAGCCGGCCUGUUUGAUUCUAAAUCGAAUGACUGGGACUGGAAGACUAAUGGACGCACUAAUCCACGGCACACCGUGCACUAGUGCAACAUUUUUUUCAGGGGGACGAAUCCAAGUGCUUGUUCUAUGUAUCGUAUGAAAUCACGCGUUUCGAGUUAAGUGUGAAUUAUCUAUACAUCCCAUUUGAAUUGCAUGAGCGUAUCGCAUUGGAAAAGUCUUAACCUCGACUAGAAAUGACUCGAGAAUAAUUAAUAACACUAACAUUUGAUAUUGUUAGUGUGAUUAUAUUAAUAACUGAUUCAGUUGCAUUUUAUUAUUUGAAACUCAAAACAAAUACGAAAAAAUAGAAUAGAAAUAUAUAGCAGAUACGCUCUCUCUAAUAAAUUAUGAAUAAUUCAAUAUUUUUCUAUGAUGAACAACUAAUAACUCAGUUAGAGACGAUAGCUAUUUAUAUGGGGCAUUGGACAAUUUUCUCUUUAUUUGAAAUGCCACACACCAUACGUUGAGAACGCACAAAGAUAUUAAUGAACGUUCCUAAAUCCCGCUUCAAAUUGGAAUUCAGAGUAAUUAUUUGAAAUCUCCUAAACUGUGGCAUAACCAUCUAGAAGUUCAAUUUAUCCAGUUUUUAAAGCGCAGUUUUACGGAACACUGCAUAUGAUGUAUACAAAUGUGCGUUGAUAUCCAUUUGCGGCAAAGAUAUCACAACCAUUUCGAGAGUAAGUCAGCAGAGUUUCGCACAUUUUGUUCGAUUGGAGUGCUCUAUAUUUUAAUAUUCAAAAUUUCCAAAAACGAUAAUGAUCGGUAUACUUUUACAUUUACGCAAACCAUCUUCAUCAAACGUGCAAAGCUAGCUAGCAGAAGCGUAGGAUUGCCAAUUCGGAGACGGCGAGCUUGAUUCUCGGUCCGGUCUAGGAUGGUUUCGGGUUGGAAACUUUCUCGACACCUUGGGCAUAGUGUAUUCAUUGUACUUGCCACACAAGAUAGGUACUCAUGCAAUGGCGGGCAUAGAAAAGCUUUCAAUAGUUAGCUGAAGAAAUGCUAAUAGAAUACGUCGAAAAGUCGCUUUCCUGCACAAAAGUUGUUUAUAAUAUUGGAAAAAAAAUCAUUGGACAGUCAUCAAACACGCUUGGAAGAUUAUUAGAUGCAAAUAAUAUGUUUUUACACGGUUGGUAUUCUUUAAUUCUCCGGUUGACCUGAUUUUUUUUACAGAUUUUCAAAUACCACCUGAAUUUUCUUGGAUUUUUGUAAAUUUUUUCAUGGGGUUAACUCAUAGUUUCAUUAACACUAAAGUUCUUAAUCGACUAAAAACCACCUGUGUAAAAAAAACUGGGUGUAUUGACAGUGCAGUGGAUUUAGAUGGCUUGAAAUUCGUAUGGAAUGAUUGCAUUAUGUGAUUGGUAUAAAGAAAUGAUCAAUCUGUUACUUCAUGAUUUAUGAUACCUAACUUCAACGUGGAGCUUGAAUGCUAUAUAGUGCAUUUAGUUAAACCACAGAUCUGCUUAAAAAAAAAUCUGAACACGGCCUUACUGUACCAAUAAUCGAAUUUCCUUUCAUAAAACAUAUUCCAGUCGGCAUGACAGCUAACUAAUCUUGUAUAAUUGUAUGUAAAUUAUGUUCAUUAUCUGUAAAUAAUCUAAAAAAAACUUUAAUAGUAGAAAAUCGUCCGCAGUAACUUGAUUAGUCGAAUAAACGCUUUUUUAAAAUUCGCCGCCUCACUUGACAUUUGUUGAACCUGGGGCUAUGGGGGCGACAAAAGCGUUUCGGUUAUAUUUGCUUGUUUCUAAUUAUUGUUCACCCCAAAUUUGCCUUUGCCUGAUACGGAGAAACAGAUAAUAUUCCAUGCAUUUUAAAUACAUCGCUAUAAGCUUAGUGAAGAUAGACAAGCUUAACUGCUUCUCAGAAUAGACACACGUUAGUAUUUGCCUCUCCAUCAUUUAUCGCCCCAGAUCAUGAUCCCAUAGCUUGAAUAUAAAAAAAAUACUGUGGGACGCUUUUCAAACGCAAACAACAUAAAGUGGCUGUGAAAACACGUGACGAUCUUACACAAAGCGGAAGCGGGGAGUCUUGGGAACCCUAACAUAUGAGGGGGCGCCCUCUAUCAAGGACAAUAAAUUAACCCAUAUAGACAAUUGCUAUAGCUAACGAUAUGCGGAAUCUUUUGAUUCCGCUUCUGAAUAUGCU